This 270-nucleotide ribosomal RNA is filed under the name uncultured bacterium. RNAcentral describes it as "partial 16S ribosomal RNA". It matches the Rfam family "Bacterial small subunit ribosomal RNA", at positions 30 to 298 of the family's 1533-position model. The record is from RNAcentral.
AUUGAACGCUGGCGGCGUGCUUAACACAUGCAAGUCGAGCGGUAACAGGUGUAGCAAUACAUGCUGACGAGCGGCGAACGGGUGAGUAAUGCUUCGGAAUCUACCCAUUGGCGGGGAAUAACUAGCCGAAAGGUUAGCUAAUACCGCAUAAGCCCUACGGGGGAAAGCAGGGGAUCGUAAGACCUUGCACCGAUGGAUGAGCCGAAGUCGGAUUAGCUAGUUGGUAGGGUAACGGCCUACCAAGGCGACGAUCCGUAGCUGGUCUGAGAG